AAUAGAUACCCCGGUAGUCCACCCCGUAAACGUUGGGAACUAGUUGUGGGGUCCAUUCCACGGAUUCCGUGACGCAGCUAACGCAUUAAGUUCCCCGCCUGGGGAGUACGGCCGCAAGGCUAAAACUCAAAGGAAUUGACGGGGACCCGCACAAGCGGCGGAGCAUGCGGAUUAAUUCGAUGCAACGCGAAGAACCUUACCAAGGCUUGACAUAUACGAGAACGGGCCAGAAAUGGUCAACUCUUUGGACACUCGUAAACAGGUGGUGCAUGGUUGUCGUCAGCUCGUGUCGUGAGAUGUUGGGUUAAGUCCCGCAACGAGCGCAACCCUCGUUCUAUGUUGCCAGCACGUUAUGGUGGGAACUCAUGGGAUACUGCCGGGGUCAACUCGGAGGAAGGUGGGGAUGACGUCAAAUCAUCAUGCCCCUUAUGUCUUGGGCUUCACGCAUGCUACAAUGGCCGGUACAAAGGGCUGCAAUACCGUGAGGUGGAGCGAAUCCCAAAAAGCCGGUCCCAGUUCGGAUUGAGGUCUGCAACUCGACCUC
Molecule: ribosomal RNA, 544 nt
Filed under: uncultured bacterium
Lineage: Bacteria
Description: bacterial SSU rRNA
Rfam family: Bacterial small subunit ribosomal RNA
Source: RNAcentral